UGAAAUUUUAAAUUUUAUUGGGACUAUAUUUUUUUUAAUGAAGUUAGGAAAUUUAUUUUUAGACUAGGAUUAGAUACCCUAUUAUUUUAAACGUUAUUAUUAAAGCUAAAUUAGUAUUAGUUUUGUUCUUGAAAGUUAAAGGAUUUGGCGGUAUUUUAGUCUAUCCAGAGGAACCUGCCCUGUAAUUGAUAAUCCACGAUUGAUUUUACUUGUUUUAAAUAAGUUUGUAUAUCGUCGUGGUUGAAUAUUUUAGGAGAAUUUAAUGUUCAGUAUUUUAAAUUACACAAGAAUUCAGAUCAAGGUGUAGCUUAUAAAUAAGAAGAGGUGGGUUACAAUAAAUAAAUUUAUGGAUUAUGAAGUUAAACUUUUAUAUGAAAUUGGAUUUGGCAGUAAUUAAAUUUUAAUUUUUUUAGUGAUUUUGGCUCUAAAAUAUGCACAUAUUGCCCGUCGCUUUUGUUUUAAGAUAAAAUAAGUCGUAACAUAGUAGACUUACUGGAAAGUGAGUCUAGAAGGU
This 514-nucleotide ribosomal RNA is filed under the name Cleroidea sp. 3 KM-2017. Its description in RNAcentral is "partial 12S ribosomal RNA". The record is from RNAcentral. Lineage: Eukaryota; Metazoa; Arthropoda; Insecta; Coleoptera.